AUUGAACGCUGGCGGCAGGCUUAACACAUGCAAGUCGAGCGGGGAAAGGUAGCUUGCUACUUGACCUAGCGGCGGACGGGUGAGUAAUGCUUAGGAAUCUGCCUAUUAGUGGGGGACAACAUCUCGAAAGGGAUGCUAAUACCGCAUACGUCCUACGGGAGAAAGCAGGGGCCCUUCGGGCCUUGCGCUAAUAGAUGAGCCUAAGUCGGAUUAGCUAGUUGGUGGGGUAAAGGCCUACCAAGGCGACGAUCUGUAGCGGGUCUGAGAGGAUGAUCCGCCAGACUGGGACUGAGACACGGGCCAGACUCCUACGGGAGGCAGCAGUGGGGAAUAUUUGACAAUGGGGGGAACCCUGAUCCAGCCAUGCCGCGUGUGUGAAGAAGGCCUUUUGGUUGUAAAGCACUUUAAGCGAGGAGGAGGCUACCGAGAUUAAUACUCUUGGAUAGUGGACGUUACUCGCAGAAUAAGCACCGGCUAACUCUGUGCCAGCAGCCGCGGUAA
RNAcentral lists this ribosomal RNA (501 nucleotides) under uncultured bacterium. RNAcentral's name for it is "partial 16S ribosomal RNA". It matches the Rfam family "Bacterial small subunit ribosomal RNA", at positions 30 to 523 of the family's 1533-position model. The record is from RNAcentral.